This 305-nucleotide ribosomal RNA is filed under the name uncultured bacterium. RNAcentral's name for it is "bacterial SSU rRNA". It matches the Rfam family "Bacterial small subunit ribosomal RNA", at positions 337 to 635 of the family's 1533-position model. The record is from RNAcentral.
GCCUACGGGGGCAGCAGUGGGGAAUAUUGCGCAAUGGGCGAAAGCCUGACGCAGCGACGCCUCGUGAGGGAUGAAGGUCUUCGGAUCGUAAACCUCUGUCAGCAGGGAAGAACGGUCACUGUGCUAAUCAGCAGUGAAUUGACGGUACCUGCAAAGGAAGCACCGGCUAACUCCGUGCCAGCAGCCGCGGUAAUACGGAGGGUGCGAGCGUUAAUCGGAAUUACUGGGCGUAAAGCGCUCGUAGGCGGUAUGUCAAGUCAAGGGUGAAAUCCCCGCGCUCAACGUGGGAACUGCCUUUGAAACUG